Molecule: ribosomal RNA, 773 nt
Filed under: uncultured bacterium
Lineage: Bacteria
Description: bacterial SSU rRNA
Rfam family: Bacterial small subunit ribosomal RNA
Source: RNAcentral
GCGUAACGCGUAUGCAACCUACCUUUAACAGGGGGAUAACACUGAGAAAUUGGUACUAAUACCCCAUAAUAUCAUAGAAGGCAUCUUUUAUGGUUGAAAAUUCCGAUGGUUAGAGAUGGGCAUGCGUUGUAUUAGCUAGUUGGUGGGGUAACGGCUCACCAAGGCGACGAUACAUAGGGGGACUGAGAGGUUAACCCCCCACACUGGUACUGAGACACGGACCAGACUCCUACGGGAGGCAGCAGUGAGGAAUAUUGGUCAAUGGACGCAAGUCUGAACCAGCCAUGCCGCGUGCAGGAUGACGGCUCUAUGAGUUGUAAACUGCUUUUGUACGAGGGUAAACGCAGAUACGUGUAUCUGUCUGAAAGUAUCGUACGAAUAAGGAUCGGCUAACUCCGUGCCAGCAGCCGCGGUAAUACGGAGGAUUCAAGCGUUAUCCGGAUUUAUUGGGUUUAAAGGGUGCGUAGGCGGUUUGAUAAGUUAGAGGUGAAAUUUCGGGGCUCAACCCUGAACGUGCCUCUAAUACUGUUGAGCUAGAGAGUAGUUGCGGUAGGCGGAAUGUAUGGUGUAGCGGUGAAAUGCUUAGAGAUCAUACAGAACACCGAUUGCGAAGGCAGCUCACCAAACUAUAUCUGACGUUGAGGCACGAAAGCGUGGGGAGCAAACAGGAUUAGAUACCCUGGUAGUCCACGCAGUAAACGAUGAUAACUCGUUGUCGGCGAUACACAGUCGGUGACUAAGCGAAAGCGAUAAGUUAUCCACCUGGGGAGUAC